AACGAACGCUGGCGGCAUGCCUAACACAUGCAAGUCGAACGCGACCUUCGGGUCUAGUGGCGCACGGGUGCGUAACGCGUGGGAACCUGCCCUUAGGUUCGGAAUAACUCCCCGAAAGGGGUGCUAAUACCGGAUAAUGUCUUCGGACCAAAGAUUUAUCGCCUUUGGAUGGGCCCGCGUUGGAUUAGCUAGUUGGUAGGGUAAAAGCCAACCAAGGCGACGAUCCAUAGCUGGUCUGAGAGGAUGAUCAGCCACACUGGGACUGAGACACGGCCCAGACUCCUACGGGAGGCAGCAGUUGGGAAUAUUGGACAAUGGGCGAAAGCCUGAUCCAGCAAUGCCGCGUGAGUGAUGAAGGCCUUAGGGUUGUAAAGCUCUUUUACCCGGGAUGAUAAUGACAGUACCGGGAGAAUAAGCUCCGGCUAACUCCGUG
RNAcentral lists this ribosomal RNA (433 nucleotides) under uncultured bacterium. RNAcentral's name for it is "partial 16S ribosomal RNA". It matches the Rfam family "Bacterial small subunit ribosomal RNA", at positions 29 to 507 of the family's 1533-position model. The record is from RNAcentral.